Molecule: long non-coding RNA, 2841 nt
Organism: Phasianus colchicus (ring-necked pheasant)
Lineage: Eukaryota; Metazoa; Chordata; Aves; Galliformes; Phasianidae
Source: Ensembl
AUGGCUCCCGGGGCGGCGGGGUCAGCGCGGGGCCGCGGCCGGCACGGGGUGGGGGGAGCCGGGCAGCCCCUACCGCCGGGCCUCGGGGCAAGGUUGCUCGGGGGCGGCGGUGCCGAUGUUUUGCAAAGGAUUUCUGCCUGUUUCUCCCCCACCUCCUUUUUUUUUUUUUUUUUUUUUUUUUUUUCAAUUUUCUCAAGCGAUUUGACAGCAUCUCCCCCGCCUUCCGCCUGCCCCCUGGGAUGCCGUGCAACGUGGUUCGGCGCAAACCAGCCGCCGAUCGACGCAUCUAGCUGUCAUUCUCCUCAUCAGUGCUGGCGAGCGAAACAAAGCCCGAGCGCCGUGCUCCCCGGGGAACCUCUGCCCCCGGCGGGCACGCGGCAACGGAUUCGCGGCUCAUAUUGUGGGAGCGGGGGGAGAAUCGUUCGAACGCGGCAGGGAAGGACGUGCGGAGCCAGCACGGGACCGGCGCAGCCCCGCGGCGCCCCCUCAGCCGCCCUCCCCCAGCCGCUGCCGCCGGCGCUGUGCCCCCGCACCCGGUUCGGUGCGGCGCGAGCGGAGCCGCGUCCCCCCGGCCGCCCUCAGCUCCGGCCACGCGCAGCAUCCCGCUUGCCGCCGAACAUCACCCCGCGCCCUUCCCGCUCCCGGUCCCUUCCCCGAGCCCGGCCGCUCGCCCCCUCCCCGCCCCAAACCCACCCCGGCCCCAACGCUUUCCCUCCCUCACUAAUCCCCGGCUCCCAAAUCCCUCGCAAAUCCUCCCCCGCGCCCCCUCCCUCAGCCCCGGGCACGCCGCUGCCCUUGCUGCCCGCUCCGCUCCUACCUUCUGGGUGCUGCUCGGGCUGCUGCUGCUGGUGCUGCAUGAUUCCCACUUUCUUCAGCGCGCGAGAGGAAAAAGAAAAAAGCCCAGGGCCGAGACGACCCCGCCGCCCCGAGCCAGCAACCGCUAGAGCCGCUGCCAGCUCGUCGGUCCCCCCUCCUGCCGCCGCCCGCUCCGCGAGCCCCCUCCUCCCGGUGCCGCUCCUCCUCAGCCCCCUCCCGCCGCUGCCGCUCGCCGCCGCCGCGGGCUUAACUCCCUCCUCGCUGCCGCCGCCGCCACCUGCUGCUGCCGCGCUCCUGCGGCCGGGCCGGGCGGGGGCGCGGAGCCGCUCGCUAAUCGCCCGGAGCUCCGACGGCCGCAAAUAGAACCGCCGCCGCCGCCUUAACCCCUCCGCCGCCGGCCCGCAGCCCGCCCCUCGGCGCGCCCCCGCACACCGCCGCCCCGCAGCCGCCUGCUACUGGCGCCAGCCCGGCUCUCCACGCCCGGGUCAGCACCGAAACGCGAGUGGGUUCGGGGCCGCCCCUUCCACGCCUUGCGGUGAACGCAUCCCUCGCUCUGGACAGCUCCCGGCCCGGCUGUUGUGCACACCGAGAACCCUCAGUUCCUCAAACCUUCAGCGCCUCGACCUGUUGCAAUGGCUCCGUUCCCAUCCUAAGCCAAUCCCAACAUUUUUAGCGUUUCACGAAAGAAAAAAAAAAAACACCUCAAUUAUCUUUCCAAAAUUUUUCAUUUGCAGCUCUCCACAGCGGAAGCCAGAACCUUGCAUUUUGGUUUUAUUUUUCCUUCGUUGGUCUCAAAGCAGCAAUCACAUGCACUGAUGCACAUGACUGGAGUAGCCAUGGGAUGUGUAGGAACAGCAAGGGCAGCACCUCCACUCAGUGAUACUUUUCCCAGUGGCAACAUUGCAGCCAUUGAGAGAAGUACAUAAUGAAACCAAGCAAGGAUUAUACCAAUCCAAAACAGAAUUAAUGCUUCUGAGUUCCAGUUGGCUUUCUCUGAAAUUACUGCUUCCUGAUUUUUUGAGAUUAUUUUCAGGAUAUUUGUUCUGAACAUACCAUUGUUAAAAUAGUGUGUAUGACCCUGUGAUAAAGGUACUAUUUUGUUAAAAAAAAAACAUUCAGCAGAACUGCUACAAGCCCUCUCUUUCAUCACUUCCUUAUCUAUGUCUCUGUUUCACCUUCAAGCUAUCCUUCACCCACAAUUAACGAUAAAUAACAACGACAGAGAAGACUUGGAAAGACUUAGGAAAAAAAAAAAAAAAAAGACCUCAAUGCUUCUGAUAUCCUUCAGUCUCAUACUAAGCCCUGUUAGGUGGAAACCAUCACUUUUAGUGCCCUCCGGAGAGAGAAAGCUUCUAUCUCCAUGUCACUUCUUGGCCUUGUUCUGGGAGUUUUCUCUAACCUUUUGGGUGGAUCUAGCUGCUGUGGCCAUGAGCAGCCCCCAGUAGCAGGUGGCUUUAAUCAGGAAGGCACCACACGCAGGUCAGAAGUUUACAGCAAUGAAAGCUGCAAGAACCAGAAAGGCAAUGGAAUGAUGAUACAGGAGGUGUAAUGACAAAGGGACUAGCACAAUAGAAAGGUGUUACAAGGAGAAGGGAAAAGAGCUCACCCAUCUCUGAAGAUCUGGGCUCCACAAAGGAGGGAUCUCCAACCAGAGAUCCUUCCCAGCGGCAGUCAGCCCUUAAGUGAGGUCUAAGAGAGGUGCUGUUAGGCUUCACCACUUGGUGAAAACAAUUGAAUUGCCUUCACCUGUCCCUUGAUCAUUGUUUUGAAAGAGACCUAUGAAGUUCAACACCAAGACACUAUAGGCAAACCCAUGAGUAAUAAGGCCUGAAUCUAAAACAAACAAAGCAUCCCAAAGAAAAAGGCUGAAGUCUGCAGAAGUCCAUCAAACCCCAGGGUUCUGACCUUGCCAGUACCUGGUUUCCAAUCCCCUGUCCUUACAAAGGAGAACAGCACUAUGUAGCAGAAACUACAGAUACUCUCCAAAGACUCCCAAUAAAACCAUGAAAGAGAGAUACUUUUACA